UUCUCAACAGGCUUUCUGACAGCAAAUGAAAAGUAGAGCUCAGAAGUAUAUCAUACAUAAAACAGUAUAGAAAUGACAGCAACCUUUUUAGCUGCACUGUGGUAACUAGCUACUCCUUUAGAGAUGCUGCAGGGAGAAGACAGGAAGAAUGCCAAGAGACACUUAUUUACAGCAAGACUAGGGAGUGGAGGGAGAGAAGUGAUGAAAAAAAUGGGGAAAUAUUGUUGCAGUGCAAAGGAAUUACAAGAUUCCUGACCUGUACUGUGUUCAUAGUAGGAAUGCUGAUUAUGGUGACAAGAUAAGAUCAACUGGCUCAUCAUCAGAGAGAUACUUCUUCAUUGUUAGUGAGUGGAGUGAGGCCAGAGAAGCAGCAGAGCUGAUGGAAGAGAAGAGUGGCUGCGAUUGCUGGAAACAAAAAGAAGAAAAGAGGUAGAUGGCAAGGAGAUAAUAGGACAUCCACCUUUUAGAGGUGGAGGGCAUUUGGAUUGUAACAUGCAUUUUAAUUGUAACAUGCAACUCCCCCUGAAGAAAAUAUGCAUAAAGAUAAGGCAGUGGCCUCAUCAAAAUGGUACAGUUCCACAGGCAAGCAGGGCAGGCGUG
This 600-nucleotide long non-coding RNA is filed under the name Struthio camelus australis. RNAcentral describes it as "lncRNA (ENSSCUG00000002594.1)". The record is from RNAcentral. Lineage: Eukaryota; Metazoa; Chordata; Aves; Struthioniformes; Struthionidae.